This 1401-nucleotide long non-coding RNA is filed under the name Naja naja (Indian cobra). Its description in RNAcentral is "lncRNA (ENSNNAG00000001922.1)". Lineage: Eukaryota; Metazoa; Chordata; Lepidosauria; Squamata; Elapidae. The record is from RNAcentral.
GUGCACAAGAGGACGCCCAAGGGGUGCCACGGGCUCAGGGAGGGUGCGCCAGAGGCGUAGUGUGGGUUCAUCCUCCUGCUGGGCAGGAGGUGCGAGGGGUGCAGGAGAGGCGCUGUGCAGGUGAAAGGGGAUGCACAAGAGUCCCCAAGAGGUUCCACGUGGACUGGGGGGAUUCGGGAAGGGUGCACAAGAGGGGAGGGUGCAGGAGUGGUUGGUGUGGAGCAAGGGCAGAGCAGCUGAGGUGGCGCAUGGGUGGAGGAGGGGCAACUUGUGACCUUCUCUGGUGGCUUCCCCUUUGACUUUCUGCAGAAGUCAGCUAGGAAGAUUGCAGGUGGCGAUCCUGUGAUGGUGGGGUGCUUGAGAACCGGUUGCAAAUGCACACAGGUUGCCAAGCAUCUCGGUGAGGAUCAGGCGACCAUGGGGUGCUGGGGCGGCCAGAACCCCAAGAACCAUUUGCAGCCACAAUGGUGGGGACUUCCUGCAUGCAGAGUUUGUCCUUUGACUGGUCAUGUGCCAUGAAAGCUGUUUUUAGAUUGUCUCCGUGAUUAGGCCUAACCCGACUUCCUGCUCUCCCGGCGAUUCCCUGGGCCCCGUGACGGAGUCCGUUGCCUUCCAAGGUGCCCAGGGUGGCAGCCGUCUCUCCCCCAGGAGGGUGCCUCCGAUUGGCUGCCAGGAGGGGACCGAAAGUGGCCAGGGGGGACUCUCACUGCCUUGCCUUCCUCUUUGGACUCAGGAGGUGGAAGAAAGCGAGGAGGAGAGGCUGGGGAAGCACAGCUUGGAAGACCUCCAGAAGGUCCAAAGCGAUCCUGCGCCUCGGAGAAACCAAUGUAAUGCUGAGAACGAGGAUUGCUGAGCGCUUCUACUUCCCCUUCAUCUUCCCCCGCUACCUCAUGAAAGGCUUCGUCCCCUUUGUGAAGCUGCCUCUACCGAAGGUCACCUUGCAGCCGUUUCCAUCCCUUUCCAAGAGGCCGGCAGCGCCAAGGACUUUCACUGCCAGGCAGCAGCUGGUGCACAAGUACUUCAUCCCAAAGUUCUCCUACGCGGACAGCUACCCUUGAAGGCAGCGAGGCCCAGGAUGGAGCCGAGGGGCUUCCAUGGCAGCAACCGGACGGGUCCCGUGCUGAAGAGCCAGGUGGCACCAGCCUGGCACAUGUCCACGGGCUCCAAUCGACCAACCGGGUAGCAAUAAUCAGAGACUUCCAGAGGCAUUUCAUUUUAUUUACUUAAAGUGACAAGAACCCGAUUUAUGACACAUUUAUGAUAAGAUUUCCCGGCAAGGUGAGGGAGAAGCGCCAAUAAAGAGGAAAGCAGGCCAGUAGCGCUUUCACAGGGGGAAAAACUCUUUGGGCAGCUGUUCCGUGGGUGUCCUGCAGGGGGAGGGGGGGCUCGGGGGCGGUGAGA